Molecule: ribosomal RNA, 433 nt
Filed under: uncultured bacterium
Lineage: Bacteria
Description: partial 16S ribosomal RNA
Rfam family: Bacterial small subunit ribosomal RNA
Source: RNAcentral
AACGAACGCUGGCGGCAUGCCUAACACAUGCAAGUCGAACGAGACCUUCGUGUUUAGUGGCGCACGUGGGGGGAACGCCUGGGAAGUUGCCCUUAGGUUCGGAAUAACUCCCCGAAGGGGGUGCUAAUACCGGAUAAUGUCUUCGGACCAAAGAUCUAUCGCUUUUGGAUGGGCCCGCGUUGGAUUAGCUGGUUGGUAGGGUAAAAGCCUACCAAGGCGACGAUCCAUAGCUGGUCUGAGAGGAUGAUCCGCCACGCUGGGACUGCGACACGGACCAGACUGGUACGCGAGGGAGCGGUAUGGAAUACUAGAGGCUGAGCGAAGGCCUGAUCCAGCAGUGCCGGGGGAGUGGUGAAUGCCUUAGGGUUGUAAAGCUCUUUUACCCGAGAUGAUAGUGACGGUACCGGGAGAAUAAGCUCCGGCUAACUACGUG